AUGGACACGGUCAAGGGACACAAGGGGGGUGACCACGAGCUGGUCAGGCAGCUUUUAGUCGGAGUCAACUUGUGGUUUGUGAAGACACGGGUGGACAUGGCUGUGGGGAAAGACCAGGAGGGAGGCACCGGGAAAGCUUAUUCCUGCUUCGGGGAACACUAUGAAGCUUGCAACUGCUGGCCGAGGGAGCUUCGGGGCCUGAGAAAGCUUGGAAAGAAGGCUAGUGCUGCCAUUGACAGUGACUGCCAGCAGGUAUGUCCCAUUAUCUCCCAGGGCCUCAGCUGUCUCCUCAGUGAACUGGGCAUAGUGAUGCCCACUUUGCAGAGAGGCAGUGAGGACUGAAGACCAUCACGUGAGUGCAGUGCCUCGCACACAGCGUCCUCCUCUCUCCUCCACCGCCCUUUCCCUCACUGUUUCAUGUUUCCAUCUAGGAAAACAGGUGAAUAAGAUCCUGUCCCUUAAAAAACUUAGGCGACAGGGAAUUCCCGUCAUGGCUCAGGAGUUACAAACCUGACUAGGACCCAUGAGGAUGUGGGUUCGAUCCCUAGCCUCGCUCAGUGGGUUAAGGAUCUGGCGUUGCCGUGAGCUGUGGUGUAUGUCACAGAAGUAGCUCGGAUCCUGUGUGGCUGUGCCUGUGGGUGGCAGCUGCAGCUCCGAUUUGACCCCUAGCCUGAGAACUUCCAUAUGCUGCAGGUGCAGCCCUUAAAAAAAAAAGACCAAAAAAAAGAAAGAAAGAAAGAAAGAAACUUAGGUGACACAAUAGGGCCAAAGAAACACGUGGCUGGGGAGUUCAAGAUGUGGCUUUACCUCUCUGUCUCUUAAUGGAGGUAAUUACACCUACCUUUUCUCUCGAGUUUGUAGGAAGAUGAAAUAAGACAACUCCGGUAAAGCUCUUGGUCCCACACCUGGCACAUUAUAGGUGCCACUAAAUAGUUGCAUGGUCCCGCAUGGUCAAGUUUACUCACAAAAUGAAUGUGGCAAAGGCCACAGAGCGGGCAGAGAAUGUGCUGUGGGAGUUCAGGGGAAGAGGAUUUCCAACUGGAUAUCCAGGAAGGCUCCAAGGAGGAGGCAGCAUUUCAGCUAAUUUGGACACGAGGUGAUGAGAGGAGGAGGGUGAGAGAGAUUAUUCCGGGCACGUGUGUGGAAACCAGAAAAUGUGGCUGGCAGGGCAGGCUGGCGGGUGUGGACAGGAGCUUUAGGAGCCAAGGCAGGAAUGGCUGUGGCUGGAGUCUGACCUAGAAAGCCUUCAGCGAGGAACGGAGUUGGGAACGUUAACUCAACAGAGAGCUGCUAAAGUUCCCGAGGGGAGUGGGUGUGUGCGUGUGUGUGUGUGUGUGUGUGU
RNAcentral lists this long non-coding RNA (1342 nucleotides) under Sus scrofa (pig). Its description in RNAcentral is "lncRNA (ENSSSCG00025015126.1, ENSSSCG00065002650.1)". Lineage: Eukaryota; Metazoa; Chordata; Mammalia; Artiodactyla; Suidae. The record is from RNAcentral.